This is a long non-coding RNA of Acyrthosiphon pisum (pea aphid), 168 nucleotides long. RefSeq lists it as uncharacterized. The record is from RefSeq and is a predicted model, not a curated record. The transcript has 2 exons. Lineage: Eukaryota; Metazoa; Arthropoda; Insecta; Hemiptera; Aphididae.
AAAAAAGACCAUUUAGCAAAUACAUGCCCAAAACCAAAAAAAUAUUGCGAUUUUAUUAAAGAAGAUUGUGUUGCAACAACUAGUUCACUAGUCAACAAAAAAAGUAUUUAUGAUAAUUUAUUAGUACCUUCAGAUUCAUCAAAUGCAGAUGAUUCAGACACUGGUCCA